Long non-coding RNA from Mastomys coucha (southern multimammate mouse), 2184 nucleotides. RefSeq lists it as uncharacterized. The transcript is spliced from 2 exons. The record is from RefSeq and is a predicted model, not a curated record. NCBI's taxonomy places the organism in Eukaryota, Metazoa, Chordata, Mammalia, Rodentia, Muridae.
GCUGGGGGGCGCACGGCGGCGGGCGGCGGCCGGGGGCAGGGAGGCUGGGGCGGCGCCGGCCUCGCGCCUCCCCCGUCGGCGGCCCCGUGGAGCGGCAGUGGUACAGUCCGAGACGUCCCCCGGCUAUAAAUAGCGCCAGGCGCAUGGCUCUUUGGGAGGCGCUGAGAUUCCGGGCCCCGCAGCCGCGGGCAGCGGGUGCCUGUUAGCUACCGGGGCUCUCGGUCUCUUCUUUUUUUGCCUUUUUGGCGUUAUUAUCAUUAUUAUUAUUAUUAUUUUGGUAAUAGCAGCAGGUGCAGCCUUUUGUAUUUUCAAAGCAUUGAUUUUCAUUUUCGUGUGGGCAGGUAGGGGGGCGUUAUCCACUUAGCUGCGCUCUGUUAGGGCGACAGGCGGGCUAAGCGAAGGCAGGGAGGGCGGGCGGGGCGGCGGCGCAGGCGGCGGUGGAGGUGGAAUGGGAGCUUUUCUCUCCCAUCUGGCUCCAUUUAUUUAUUUAUUUAGACUAGAAAAAGCCAACCGGCUUGGAGGGAGUCCGCCCAGAUAUCUGAAUGUCCAUUGAUCACUGUCGAGAGAAAGAAAAAGCUACAUAAAUGUAUAUUAUGUGGAUAGAUCUAUAGUCAGGAGCUCUAGCGCGCGCUCUUUCUGUAUCUCGCUCCCUUUCUCCUUCUCUAAUUCCUGACCUGCCAGAGCAGAUCCCAAAUUUCUCCUUCCUAUUCUGCAUCCACAGACACUGGAUCCACCUGAGAGCAUUGGGCUAGGAGCGCAGCUCAGGCUGCGUCAGAGUCUCAGGGAGUAGAAUUCGGCUCGGUUCUCCGCCCCAGCCCUCUGAGAAGGCGGGAGGGGAAUGUUUCAGUCCCGUCCGGAGAGCGGCAGUCAGUGCAGCCGGUGGCUGGAGGGAGGAAGGAAAUGAAGCCACCACUCCUCCGCCCCCCAUCCCAUUCGCCAACCCAGCUGCAGCCGGCGGUAGACUGGCGCGGCUUGUGCUGCCCCGCAAUACCAGAUCCAGAGGUGCGAAGCUGGAGUCUGGCUGCCCCAUCGCCCGGCGCGGAACUCCAGCUGGGCCCGCGGGGCUAGAGCCUCAGCUGCGCGAGAGAGGGAGUGGCAGGCGCAAGAGCUGUCCCGCCCCUGGGGGCGAAUAGUGGUAGUGAACUUGGCUAGGGCAGCCGAUUUUCAUUCUCAGCGUGUUUACCUGCACCCCCAUCCUCUCCAACGUUUGCUUUUCUAGGCUUCAGAAACCCGGCCAAUUAAAAUAACGCCCCAUACUCCCUGAGGCUGCAGAGCUCGAAGCUGGGACAGCAGGCGGAGCUGCUAGGCUACCCGCCACCCCCUCUCUCCCUCCCCCUCCACCCCCGGCCUCCGCUGGCCACUUUCCGGUUUUGGUUUUCAGGGUUUUCUGUUCAUAACCCUGAAUUACAUUACUAGACGUUGUGUUUAAAUUUUAUUUUAAAGAAGCGCUACCCUAACAGCCUGAGAAAAACAAAAAACAAAAACAAAAUCCACUCUCCCCCCUCCAAAACAAAACAAAACAAACAAACAAAAAAACCAGACAAGCUUUUGCUACUACCAGAAGGCUGUACACUCCAGAGGCAGAUUUGAUCAGAGGGCCCAGAGAUUCUCAGCCUUGAGGUUGACAGUCUCAGGUACAAAGCUGACUCCAGGCACUCCCUUCUGAGGAUGGGGGGUGGGGUGGGAUCCCGAACCCAACAGAAGAACCAUUCUGAGAAGAGAAGAGCUUUGUUCAUUUAAAAAAAUGUCCUGUCUUUGCUUUUUAAAGCUGUGUGUGAGUUUCCUAGGUGUCUAGUUUCUCGUCUUAGAGACUGGUCUAAGAAUCGCUGAAGUUGGUGAAAUGAAGAACCUCAUCUGCAGAGGAGAUCUGCGUCUGUGUGUUUUGUGUGCCUCUGAGAUGCUAUGAUAAUGUGGGGAUGUCUCUGGUAAGCAAGCUGGAGUGUUAGUGUGUGACAGGUGUGUGCAAACGUCUUGUUAGUACGGUGUGCUAGUUGUACUCCCCCCGACCCCCCCUCCCCCGUGUACUGAUCAGGAUAUCCCAGGACAUAUAUGAACAGAAGAUAAUGACUAUUCAUAUUCACCAUCCAACAGCAUCUUGCUGUGCUUGGAUUUCAGGAUCUCAUUGUGGAGUGGACUAUAUUUUCUUCCAUAACAGGAGAAUUAAUGAAAAUAAUUUCUACUUGA